RNAcentral lists this ribosomal RNA (253 nucleotides) under uncultured bacterium. RNAcentral describes it as "partial 16S ribosomal RNA". It matches the Rfam family "Bacterial small subunit ribosomal RNA", at positions 524 to 776 of the family's 1533-position model. The record is from RNAcentral.
UACGUAGGGUGCGAGCGUUGUCCGGAAUUAUUGGGCGUAAAGAGCUCGUAGGUGGCGGGUCACGUCGGGUGUGAAAGCCCGGGGCUUAACUCCGGGUCUGCAUUCGAUACGGGUCUGCUGGGGUCCGGCAGGGGAGACUGGAAUUCCUGGUGUAGCGGUGAAAUGCGCAGAUAUCAGGAGGAACACCGGUGGCGAAGGCGGGUCUCUGGGCCGGUACCGACGCUGAGGCGCGAAGGCGUGGGGAGCGAACAGG